This is a long non-coding RNA of Gavialis gangeticus (Gharial), 3539 nucleotides long. RefSeq lists it as uncharacterized. The record is from RefSeq and is a predicted model, not a curated record. Lineage: Eukaryota; Metazoa; Chordata; Crocodylia; Gavialidae. The transcript has 2 exons.
GCUUUGUAAAGACAAACUAUUUUAAAAAAAAUCCUAUACCACAGAUCAAGUUCCACCAGAGUAUCCCUUUCAACUCUCAAAAGUAAUGAUCAAAACAUUCAAAUAUCCUAUUGCGUAUGCAUCCACUGUCACCAUAAAACAAUCAAGCAAAAUGUCUAACAGAAAGUUACGGCAUAGCAUCUCUUUACACUGUACACUCCCUUAAGCAGGGACCUUGCUUAACAUUUUAAGAAGCCAGAAGUAUUUCUGACUUUUUGGGCUAAGGGACCAAUGUCAACCCUCAACAUUUCUUGCAGACACUCUUGUUACCCACUGCACAAUUCAAAGGGGAUGAAGGAAGAUGCAACCAGUGUUCCUCAAACCAUCAGUGUUCUACAAAUCAGUUUUGGAACUACUUUAAAAGACAGAGGACAGGAUUGGGACACAGACCCAGCAACUGACUGGCCUAUUGGUCACCUUGGGCAAGUCCCAUCAUCACUCAGUGCCUCAGUAAUGAUAUUUCCUUUUGUUGAGGCACUAUGAGAGCUACUUUGUUACUUUUUUAAAAAAAAAGUGAACUGCACCACUUACAUUCUUAUCCCAAAGAGAUGAGAGAAGGGCGAGUUCACAUUUGUGCUACUACAGCAACUGCCCCAGGGAUAGUUUUCUGCAGCACUUCUGUAUACAAUAGAAUGAUCAUAACUUGCUUGACUAUGGAAAUGUUUCAGUGCAGCUGUCCUCCCAAAUUCCUUUCCUGGGUUAGAAUCCACCCUCUUCUCUUCCUGUCAGGCUGUGGGGACAGGGACAUAAAGCCUUUCCUCCCACCUCAAUAGGGAAGGAAAGCUACUGGUGUCACAAGCAUCCAAGCAGAGUUGAGCUUUUCAUACUGCAACUUGAAUGGAAACCAGCAACAGCUCUCACUACCCUAACACUCAUUUGGUCUCUACCCAGAAACAGCUGAUGCUUCCUAUGCCCGCUCAUCUGCUAGGUUCUAGGGCCAAGAAUAAAUAGAAUUUGUUCCAGCAGGACACAAAUAUUUGGGACAGUAACACCUCUUUCCACCUCCCUGAAACCUUACCCCUCACUUUGCUUACAAUUGCAACACAGAACUGUACAGUAGUUCAGGUUCUCUUGCCAGCUGUCCCAAAAAUAAUUGCUAAGCUCAUCAGCCUAGGCAACAGGACAUUUCUGAUGCCUGAGGGCAGGGGUUCAUUUGGCACUCGCUUUACAGAUGUCACCACAGCAUACCCAGAAGUUAACUUUUUUUCCAAUUUUUACCUCCUCCCCACAUAGACUGGAUUCUAGAUAUGCUUCUCAGUGAGCACUUUUACACACCAACUUUAGUCAGAUAAACUAUAUGAAAACUGUCCCUUUGUUGUGGUGUUUUGUUUUGUUAAUAGAAUCAAUCGGAGAAUGUGUCCCCUAUUCUACUGCUUUGAGGUGGUAGCUCCUCAGGCUUUCACUCUAAGGUCUUGAGUACCUUUUAGAAAGCAGAACAGAAAUCCUCCGUUAAGGGCUUUUUGGUUUUCCAAGUAGGUGCUGAGCACAUACCCCUACUAAAUAGUCCAUUUUCACUAUGUACCUCAAAAUAUCACAGUCCUCAAAACUUCUAGUCAGGUUUGAACUAUAAAGGAACUCAGCAACCUAAGCCCAUUAUAAAAAGUCUCAAAUAUGUAGACACCACCUUGAAGGCAAUAAGCAAAAGCGGAUCCUUGCAAUCUAAGCACAGAAAAUAGAAGCAGAAAAAACUGCCAUACUAGCAGGAAAGUAGACUAUGGUGCACAGAGUAGGUAUGGAAUCUUCUUCAUUGGAGGUUUCAAAGAAGAGGCUGGAAAAACAUUCAUCUGGGAUAGCAUAGGAAUAAUGGAUCUUGUGUUUGUAUAGUGGGGGUUAUGCGGACGACCCCUGAGGUCCCUUCCAACCCUACAAUUCUACGGUAGAUGACAAAACAUGACAUAGCCUCCAAAAAUGCAGAGUUCUGGGUAUGUAAUUGAACGACGUAGCUGGCUGUGUUAUUCUGAAAUCAGGGAGAAGGCAGGGUAGACUUGCACUUUAUAAAAUAACCAAAGUAGAUGUAAAUAUAUGGCACAAGCUUUCGUGAGCUGAAGCAUCUGACCCACAGGCUGGCUCUGGCCCACUGAGCUACUGGUGGGCAAGAGUUUAAGGAAGUGGUUAGUGGUUGGUGUGGCCUACCACAGAAUAUGGGCCCCUAUGGCUUACGUAGACAUGGGCAGACAGAGAUAGUUAAGCGGUGUCAGUCUGAAGUCACACAGAAGACUAGGUAGAUCUGCUCCUUACAUAUUAACUAAUCAGAGCUAUAUAGCAUCUAAGUGGGCAUGACCACUGGAGGCAGAAAGGCAAGCAAAGGCUGUGUGAAAAAGCCCUCACACCCUGGAGCCAUUUGGCCUAAAAGGAGACAUGUGGUCUGGAUCCACUCCAAGGAACAAGAUGAAUUCAAUAUCCUUGCUCUACAGUCUAGACUUUAACACAGCAGCAAAAUGUCCCAGUACUGGUAAACCUGAGACCACUGCUUACCUGAAUCCACAGGCAUGCUCCAGAUCUGAAAGUUCACUAAUGCUGCAGCUUCAGGCUUGUUUCUACUCUGAGGGCCUGCCAGACCUCAAGGAGUUAAGAGCAGGCACAAACGGAUGAGUUUUCAACAUCCUCACUGAUGCAUUUAGUUUGGAACAUGGCAGGGGACUUGGGUGGGCAGGGCACGCUCAAGCUCACUCCAGUACUAAGAUAUGUUGUGUUAUACACAAUGCCUAAAACACCUCAUUUUGGAAACAAGUUUUGCAGACCAGAAGGCUAAAAUCAGAACAUUUUCUGAGAGACCACCUCUGCACAAAACAGAUGGCCAUCUGGCUGAUUUUGCAUUACACAGUGGUAGUGACUAACAAUACCAUAGGCUCAGUACUAAAUGGAGAUGAUAACUAUUCAUAAAACCAAAAAAACCACCCCAAAUAUUUUUGUUCUGUAUUUAGCAACAAUUACAAUGAUGUAUGUUUAUGCGAGGAUGGCAAAGUGCUUUUCAGUCCAUUAGGAACAGAAGAGGAAGUUGGAAAUAAAACCUACUAGGAAUUAAAAUUUUAAAUCAGGAGGCCUGGGUAUCUUGCACCCACUGGAAACAUGAAUGUAGUGCCAUUAUCCAAAAGAGACAAACAGAAUGACCAGGACAUCUCGGUGAGUUAACUUUUCCAAGAUAAUGGAAAAACUGAUACAGGUUUCAAUAGUUGAAGAAUCAGUUAUAUUUCCAUGUUUUCAAUGAUGCUCAAUUUGGUUUUAUGGAAAACAGGUCUUGGCAAACAAGCCUGAUGUAAUGCUUUGAUAAGAUAAUAAGGUAUAAAAGAUAACGGUGCCAAGGUAAGACAUUUAUAAGGUGUUUCAUGCAGUACUGCACCAUAUUCCAACUAAAAAAGUAGCAAAAUAUGACAAAAACAAAUGUUAAAAGUAUUAAUAACUGGUUAUUUGUAAAAAUCCCCCAAAUCAUCACUGGGUGCCUCCAGUGAGGUUCUACAGGGAUCAGUGCAAAUCCAAUGUUUUCAUCAGUGAUCUGAAAU